This 496-nucleotide ribosomal RNA is filed under the name uncultured bacterium. RNAcentral describes it as "partial 16S ribosomal RNA". It matches the Rfam family "Bacterial small subunit ribosomal RNA", at positions 29 to 507 of the family's 1533-position model. The record is from RNAcentral.
AUGAACGCUGGCGGCGUGCCUAAUACAUGCAAGUCGCGCGAACGGACGAGAAGCUUGCUUCUCUGAUGUUAGCGGCGGACGGGUGAGUAACACGUUGAUAACCUACCUAUAAGACUGGGAUAACUUCGGGAAACCGUAGCUAAUACCGGAUAAUAUUUUGAACCGCCUGGUUCAAAAGUGAAAGACGGUCUUGCUGUCACUUAUAUAUGGAUCCUCGCUUCAUUAGCUAGUUGGUAAGGUAACGGCUUACCAAGGCAACGAUGCAUAGCCGACCUGAGAGGGUGAUCGGCCACACUGGAACUGAGACACGGUCCAGACUCCUACGGGAGGCAGCAGUAGGGAAUCUUCCACAAUGGGCGAAAGCCUGACGGAGCAACGCCGCGUGAGUGAUGAAGGUCUUCGGAUCGUAAAACUCUGUUAUUAGGGAAGAACAUAUGUGUAAGUAACUGUGCACAUCUUGACGGUACCUAAUCAGAAAGCCACGGCUAACUACGUG